This 346-nucleotide ribosomal RNA is filed under the name uncultured Burkholderiales bacterium. Its description in RNAcentral is "bacterial SSU rRNA". It matches the Rfam family "Bacterial small subunit ribosomal RNA", at positions 1 to 357 of the family's 1533-position model. The record is from RNAcentral. Lineage: Bacteria; Pseudomonadati; Pseudomonadota; Betaproteobacteria; Burkholderiales.
UAGUGAGUUUGAUCCUGGCUCAGAUUGAACGCUGGCGGCAUGCUUUACACAUGCAAGUCGAACGGUAACAGGUUAAGCUGACGAGUGGCGAACGGGUGAGUAAUGCAUCGGAACGUGCCCGAUCGUGGGGGAUAACGCAGCGAAAGCUACGCUAAUACCGCAUACGAUCUACGGAUGAAAGCGGGGGACUCGUAAGGGCCUCGCGCGAUUGGAGCGGCCGAUAUCAGAUUAGGUUGUUGGUGAGGUAAAACGCUCACCAAGCCUGCGAUCUGUAGCUGGUCUGAGAGGACGACCAGCCACACUGGAACUGAGACACGGUCCAGACUCCGUACGGGAGCAGCAGUGA